GGCGCGGCGGUCCCCGGACCCCCGAGCGGGCCCUGCCCCGAGACCCGGCGGGGAAACGUCCCCGAGGGCAGCGGAGGACCUUAGGGCGGCCCUGGCGCCCCUCACGCCCGGGAGCUUCCCCGGGGCCGGUCCCUGCCCGAGCAGCCCGGGGUCUCCGCGGAGAACCGGGCACGGGGCCGGGCUGCCCCCCGGGUUCGGCUGCCUGCUGGGGYGSGGGGGCCCCGCCGGCCAGGCACAGGGCGCCCUGGGGAGAGGGUCAGAGCCGUUAGCGGAUUUGGGCAGGGGCAAUGCGGCGGCUUCUUCUCUUCUCAGCCCAGCCGUCAGCGCCAGGAGGCUGCAGAGAGGCACUGGGGCACCUGCAGCUGGACCGACAAAGUCUUUCAGUGUCUGAGCCCAGCAGUGAGUGCAAACGCUUCCCGCACACUGGUGUGUUGCAGCCAGCGUCUCCAGGCUAGCUCUGAGUAGGUGAAGGGAACAAGCCCCAGUCCCCAGGCUGUGCUGGGAGCCCAGGUGGCCCCACCAUUCCCAGCAGGGACUGCCAGGCUUGCUGAGCGCUGCCCUACCGGCAUGUUGAGGUCAGGGCUUCAGGGCUGGGUAURUGAGCUGGGAACUCCUGCUUGACAGAGCUGUGUCCUUGCUGCAGUUCUGCUGCCAUGUCCUCACAGGGGCUUUUGUCAGCGCAGGCGAUGCUGUGGCAGUGCAACGAGGAGUCAGAAAUGCUCAGCCAUGAGCCUCCGUGAGGAGCACAAACACCUGCCCCGGGAGAGGAGUGUUGGAGGACACAGGAACUGCAGGAAAUCUUGGGGACAGAGGAGCCCCAGCAGCGCCAUCAGAGACAGCCGGUGCAAGUGCCCUAGCGUCGCCCCAGCACUGGAUCUCCGACGCUGCCGCCUGCACACAGAGCCUGGGACAGCGUGUCCGGUAGGAGGGGCUGUGUCCCUGCCCCUCUCACCCGCACGGGGACGUCGGGGCCUCGGAGGCGCUUCCUGGGGAGCCCGGGGGCAUUUUCCCCUGCUGCCUUCUCCCUAAAUCGCCUGCAGGGCUUGUGUCACUGCUGAGGAACAGCUCCAGCCUCACUGCCUGCCUCUGCAUCACGUCCAGGGGUGCAGACACCGCGCGAUGGCCUCGCACCUCCUUUCUGUGCUGGGAAAGGGAACCGGCAGAGCCACGACAUGAGGUUUAGUUCAUCCUUGUCAGAAGGCACCCGGCUCUCUGCUCGCAGCAGCACAACUCCACUCACUUCCCUCCUGCCCUGCGCACGGCCCCGCUCCUGGCUGGGGACGACCUGCCUGCGCCCGCCUGGCUCUCGGCCUCCGCAGAAACCCUGCUGGGAUGGGAGUACAGUGCCAGCUUGGGACAGCUCAGGUCCAGCUUGGGCUCCUCACAGCAAUCUUGGGGACUGACAAGGUCAUAAAUCAAUCACUGUCACAACUUGCGUAUUAAUAUCAUCUUUAAUAUUGCACACACAUUGCACAACUAGUUUAUGAACAGUGUCCACACAUUGAAUAAAUAUUCUGUGUCUUGUACA
This 1528-nucleotide long non-coding RNA is filed under the name Apteryx haastii (Great spotted kiwi). RNAcentral describes it as "lncRNA (ENSAHAG00000016423.1)". Lineage: Eukaryota; Metazoa; Chordata; Aves; Apterygiformes; Apterygidae. The record is from RNAcentral.